ACUGGUUUCGACGGGGGAAUCUGGAGGCAGAGGCAGCGAGCCGGGGUUCCACCAGCCCGGAAUACGGUGGAAAGAAAAUAACCGCCAACGAAGAAUUGGCUCUGGCUGCUUAAUUAAGCGGCCCGUCCGCCCGGCCUCGCCUGCGGGCCGGCAACGGGCGUCACCCAGCAGGCCAAUCCGCUGCACCCUGCGCUCCAGGGGUGCAGCGGAAAACCUCGGAGCUGGCCGGAUGAGAGCCUGCCGGCGGGCGCUUUUUCCGGCGAGAACAAAACACCGGCUGCGCUCGGAGAAGCCUUUGCAGCCGGUCUUCCGGACAGGGGUUCGAUCA
Molecule: transfer-messenger RNA, 328 nt
Filed under: Bacillota bacterium
Lineage: Bacteria; Bacillati; Bacillota
Rfam family: transfer-messenger RNA
About the family: Bacterial tmRNA, also known as 10Sa RNA or SsrA, is named for its dual tRNA and mRNA-like properties. Its role is to liberate the mRNA from a stalled ribosome.
Source: RNAcentral